RNAcentral lists this long non-coding RNA (1113 nucleotides) under Trifolium pratense (red clover). RNAcentral's name for it is "long non-coding RNA (TPRA_LNC002211)". Lineage: Eukaryota; Viridiplantae; Streptophyta; Magnoliopsida; Fabales; Fabaceae. The record is from RNAcentral.
CUGACCUGAUGGAAAAAAUAGAAUGACCCUGAUGGAAAAAAUAGAAUGUCCCUGAUGGAAAAUAUAUGGUAUUUGAACCUAUACGUUUCGAUAAAUGGGAUGAUGAUGAUAAUGUGACCCUUAAUGGAAUGAAAAUAGAAAGCCUACUUUGUUUUAAAUUCUAUAAAAUAGAAUGACCCGAUGGACAAAAUAGAAUAUCCCAGAUGGAAAAUAUAUGGUAUUAAAACUUAUACGGUUCGAUAAAUCGUAGGAUGAUGGUACUGUGACCCUUAAUCGAAUGAAAAUAGAAAGACUACUUUGUUUUAAAUUCUAUAUAAUAGAAUGACCAGAGGGAAAAAGAAGAAUGACCCUGAUGGAAACAAUAGAAUGUACCUAAUUGAAAAUAUAUGGCAUUUGAACCUAUACGGUUCAAUAAAUGGAAUGAUGAUGGUACUGUGACUCUUAAUCGAAUGAAAAUAGAUAGCCUGCUGCCUACUUUGUUUUAAAUUCUAUGAAAUCAAAUGACCCGAUGGAAAAAUAGCAUGACCCUGAUGGAAAAAAUAAAAUAUCGCUGAUGGAAAAUAUAUGGUAUGUGAACCUGUACAGUUAUAAAUUCUAUGAAAUAGAAUGACCCGAUGGAAAAAAUAGAAUAACCCUUAUGGAAAAAAUAUAAUGUCCCUGAUGGAAAAUACAUCGUAUUUGAACCUAUACUGUUCGAUAAAUGGUAUGAUGAUGGUACUGUGACCUUUAAUCGAAUGAAAAAAGAAAGACUACUUUGUUUUAAAUUCUAAAAAAUAGAAUGACCCGAUGGAAAAAAUAAAAUGUCCCUGAUGGAAAAUAUAUGAUUGUACUGUGACACUUAAUCGAAUAAAAAUAGAAAGCCUACUUUGUUUUAAAUUCUAUGAAAUAGAAUGACCCGAUGGAAAAAAUAGAAUGACCCUGAUGGAAAAAAUAGAAUGUCCCUGAUGGAAAAUAUAUGGUAUUUGAACCUAUACGGUUCGAUAAAUGGGAGGAUGAUGAUACUGUGACUCUUAAUGGAAUGAAAAUAGAAAGCCUACUUUGUUUUAAAUUCUAUAAAAUAGAAUGACCCGAUGGAAAAAAUAAAAUGUCCCUGAUGGAAAAUAUAUGAUUGUG